Galeopterus variegatus (Sunda flying lemur) is the source of this 479-nucleotide long non-coding RNA. RefSeq lists it as uncharacterized. Lineage: Eukaryota; Metazoa; Chordata; Mammalia; Dermoptera; Cynocephalidae. The record is from RefSeq and is a predicted model, not a curated record. The transcript has 2 exons.
CGAAGAGGCCUGCAGACAGCCCCGUGCAUCUCCAAAGCCGCUACCAGGAGAGCACCAAAAUUCUCCCAAGAUGAAGGGCUUCUGCUUCCUCCUGCUCACCAUCAGCCUCCUGGUUAUGAUGCAGAUACAAACUGUAGUCUUGGGCUCAGGAAACCAGACCAUCCACAUAAGUGGGGCCCCAGCACUCAGCGCCACGGGCGGUGGCAGUUUCCUUUUCUUCUUGGCCAACAUCCUCAUCUACUUCUUCUGCCUCAGCUGAAGUGACACACCUCAGCACUAGCCCUGUGUCCCCUGAAACAGCUGCUACCAUCACUAGCCAGAGAACGCCUUCCUAAUCCUUGGAAGAGGUUGAUGCCAGAGAUCACCAGCUUGUAGAAACUGAUAGUGCCAUGGGGGCAAUAGCCAAGUUGGGGAGGUCCUGAUGUGGCAGGGAAAGCACCACCCAGCUGGGAGUCAAUAAAGCUAUUCUUGUAUCUGGA